RNAcentral lists this ribosomal RNA (524 nucleotides) under Legionella wadsworthii. Its description in RNAcentral is "bacterial SSU rRNA". It matches the Rfam family "Bacterial small subunit ribosomal RNA", at positions 45 to 558 of the family's 1533-position model. The record is from RNAcentral. Lineage: Bacteria; Pseudomonadati; Pseudomonadota; Gammaproteobacteria; Legionellales; Legionellaceae.
UGCUUAACACAUGCAAGUCGAACGGCAGCAUGGUCUAGCUUGCUAGACUGAUGGCGAGUGGCGAACGGGUGAGUAACGCGUAGGAAUAUGCCUUGAAGUGGGGGACAACUUGGGGAAACUCAAGCUAAUACCGCAUAAUAUCUUUGGAUGAAAGCUGGGGACCUUCGGGCCUGGCGCUUUAAGAUUAGCCUGCGUCCGAUUAGCUAGUUGGUAGGGUAAGGGCCUACCAAGGCGACGAUCGGUAGCUGGUCUGAGAGGAUGGCCAGCCACACUGGAACUGAGACACGGUCCAGACUCCUACGGGAGGCAGCAGUGGGGAAUAUUGGACAAUGGGGGCAACCCUGAUCCAGCAAUGCCGCGUGUGUGAAGAAGGCCUGAGGGUUGUAAAGCACUUUCAGUGGGGAGGAGGGCUUAUAGGUUAAGAGCUAAUAAGUUGGACGUUACCCACAGAAGAAGCACCGGCUAACUCCGUGCCAGCAGCCGCGGUAAUACGGAGGGUGCAAGCGUUAAUCGGAAUUACUGGG